Molecule: long non-coding RNA, 4988 nt
Organism: Drosophila teissieri
Lineage: Eukaryota; Metazoa; Arthropoda; Insecta; Diptera; Drosophilidae
Exons: 4
Source: RefSeq, a predicted model, not a curated record
CCAAGCGCGUGCCAUGCUAAAGUGCUUCGAGGAAAGUGCAAACAGCAGCUGAAAUGGAUAUGGAAAAAGCAAAUCGAAAACUGAUUUGGAGCGGAAGUUCGUUUGCACCUUUCUGCAGUUUCCUGUAUUUGCCGCCGCCGUCGCCGCCAGAACAAUAAACAUCCACAAUCCGCAGCUACAGCCACUUCCAUUCCAUGCCCACAAUCGCAAUCAGAAUCGCCGAGUGUUCUAUAUAAAGUGCCAUGACUUGUCUUGGCCUUUGACGCCGUCUUUUGUACUAAGAGAGUUGAGUUCAGAUGGAAUGGAGGUGGAGAUGCAGAUGGAAAUGGAGGUGAAGUCACCGCCCGUUGGCUUUUCAAUGAGCUGCAAAUCAAAAGCUAUACGCGAUUUCCCACAAAGCACCGAUUAAGGAUAUGCGUGUGCACUCAGAAAAACUUUGGAUAGGUUAUGAUAAUUACAAUAAUAUCAUAGGCAGUGGGAUUGAACUCUACUUUUUGAAUCUAUGUUAUAUCCAAAACCAGGAAAAACUAAAGAUUUAUGCAAGGACCAAGGAUCCCCGGCAGCUGCUCCUUGGGAACGCUGUAUUUGAUUUGCGAUUCAAGGCAGGCGGAAAUGGAAUGACACGCGAGGCACUCUUACUUUGUUUGACGAUUGGCAAAAAUGCUGCCUCCAUGGCCCGACAAAAAACAGAAGGAACAGAAGGACCAAGGAUCCGGCAGACCCGCCAGCCGUAAGAGACUUCCACUUGAGCCGCACGCAUUGUUUGCCCUGCGAACCGAAGGGGCGUGCUGGAAAUCGGAUAUAGGAUCGCUCAUUCGGGACAAUCAAAUAGCGCAGCGGAGUUUUCCAACCCACUGAGCAGCCGCAAUCGGCGGAGAAUCAGCUGCCUUGAACCUACAAGAAGACUCUAUGAUGUCGAUGAGGUGCCAACCCGAGCCACGCGUGUCCAGUGUCCUAUGGCCAAUGGUCAGUGCCCAAUGGCCAAAAUUGGACACUGGCCGUCUCAUUAGCGCACCAAAGGUUGGAGGGUUAAUGAUGCGCACCCCGUGCUUGGGCUUCCGUCCCCCACACCAAAGCCUCCGGGCAAUUAUGCGACGCACUUGAGCUUGAAGGGCCUCGAAGGUGAGGAGUACACUUGAAACAUCAAACAAAAACUAGUAUGGCACAUAAGCGAUUCCUAGGGGAAUGACGGUUACUUUAUCGUAUGGUAAACGACUUUGAGAUACUUAAAAUAAUGAAACUAGCGCAGCUUCCACGUAGUGUGAAUAAGCAGUAUGGAGCUAGAAUUCCUGCAAGCAUAACAUUUAAUUUUCGAAUAGGUAGUAAUCAAUUUAUGCUAGCAACUGAGAACAUUUCAGAGCAACCAUUUCAAUGGCUAAGCACUUCUUUGAGUGUACGCGUAGGAGGAAUGCAGUGGCCAUUCAUUGACCCCGGCUGUGUAGUAGCUCGGGUUUUAUGGUGUCGUCGUAAAUGUCAGGUGCGCACCCCAUUUAAAUUUAUUCAACGUAAUUAGUUGUCUUCCCCUAUAAAGUAUAAAGUGCCAGUAAGUCUGUAGUGUGUGCACAGCGAUGUACAGAGUGUCAGUGCACGAAUCUAAUUUGAUUGCCAACCGAAAACUACAAGUGUUAGGGGAUUACGAUGCAGUACUUCCGCUGUGGCCCGAAAAAUUCGAUUUCCCUUUGGAAGAUACAUUUUUGUGGCGCGGAUUAAGCGACACAUAAAACAUAUAAAUGGAACGCAACACACCUGCAGGUGGAAAAACAUGCAAAAAUGAUCGUUGCGAGAUAUGCGAACGGGACAUGACGCCGCAGGAUGCCAAACAGGCUGCCUCAGUCCGCUGGCGCUCCAGUUGGGCCACCAUUCUCGCCUCGCCUCGGUUAUCGGUGAAUUCCGUGACGAUGGCAAAAAUAUUGCAACGCAGCCAAAGGGGCAGAAAAGGGAUGGCAGCGGGCGGUGAGCAGUGGGCAGUGGGAAAAAAGGGGUCUGGGUCGUGGUCCAUUUCGUGUGCACGUCGUUAUCCUUGCUCCGGAUGCACAACAAUCAAAAUAAACGGCUGCCAAAUUGACCAUUGACCAAACAUCGUCAGCAGGGAACGGCGAGGAGGUGCCGGCGACCACUGCAGCAGGAUGUGUGGGCGGCAAAGGACCUCCGGGGGCAGGGGUGUGAAGUGAGGCACUGGAUAGCGACAUCAUCUUUGGCCCCGUCACGUCCACUUUCUGCUCAAUUCAGGAGCCAAGCAGCCAACUCGAAAUAAACAUGAAAUGCACUUGUUUUUGUGCAGCAGGAAAUGCGAUUAAAGGCUGUUAAAGCAAGGACAUGAAACAAACUAGAAGUAAAGCACUUAACCAGCUCACAGGUCAACUCCUCCUGCAGAAUGUAAUCAAAGUAGCGACAGAAAUCAAUUCAGGUGUGAAAUCAAACAGUGAAAUGAAAACUAAAGCAAUCGUAAUACGAGUGCUAUAUUGAUAUCGUUUAAGCCAGAAAUAUGUGUAAUGGGUCAUAAUUGAUACCCUAUAAGCCUAUAGUAGCUGCCGCUACAUAAUUAACCAGAAAUGUGCGCUCAUCCCGCGUCCCCACUCGAUUUACGAUAUUAUUGCAGAAUAAUGAAAUCGCCAAGAGAUUCCAAUUCAAUCUACGCGCCGCGUAGGCCAUUUAUGGAUUGGCAUUGAUUUAAUACCGCGUCGCGAGAGAUCGCCUCCAGGUUCGGUUCCCCCGAGUCCGAGGCGCAAGGCAUUUUGCACCUACUUCAGCCCCAAGACGUCCAACUCGCGCUCGCGGCUCCAAAGUCCGCAUCUGAUCUGAUUCCGCCGCCUAUCGCUCCCCGAGAUCAGCGGCGCAGACGCCACCUCGGCGGAGGCUGCAUCGGCGGGCAGGAGGGCAUCGCAGCACUCAGGGAAAAUGCACCUCAGAAGGUAGUGCACGUAAAGUUCCCAUUCAAAUAUAUUGUUGAAUAAUUGUAUGCAUAUUAAUAUGUUUUCUUUAAAUACUAGUGACUUUUGUAAUGAAUUCGGAUUCUGAAGCCGCAAUGGAAAUUAUUUAGCAGGCUCAGUUUCAUACAACUUUUUGUGCCCGCAAAUACUACUACUGCUUGCUCAUCCAGCACGACUGAAAGGAUUUUUUCUGAAUGCACUGCUCCAAUGUUUAUUCAAUAAACCCGAUCUGAGAUGCAACAACCAGGAGGAGAAGCGGCUGAACAGCAGCUGGCUGGCUGGCUGACUGGCUGGCAUUCCUGCGAGAAGCAACCGUUGAGCAGUUCUGCAGUUGGCCCAUUCAAGACAAGUCGCUGGAAUUUCUUGGUGCGUGCUCGGCACAGGCACAGUCUCAGUCACAGGUUGGGGCUCGGAAUCGGAUUCAGCUGGUCCAGCGUCUGCCAGCUGCGUCUCCUGAUUAUGAUAAUGGCAGUUGGACUGGACCGGAUCGGACUGGACUGGACCGGACAGGAACAGGGACAGGGAGCACACCGCAACACCAGGCGGCUGGGCCACGACGGACCGCUCAGCUCAUCCCACUGGCCAGUUGUGCGCAAUUGCUUUCGUUUAUGAUCGAAUGAUCGAAUGCCUGGCAGCUCCGUUGACUUUCUGAUUAAUGCAAGAAUGCUCCUUGGCGGCGUUCCCGCUUUUUGCCCGAUCCCACCACCACUGACUGCAAUUAAAAGUGGAUGCCCCUCGCUAAAAAUUGGAGAUAGGCAGGACUGAACAUCAACGCCAAAGACAAGUUAGACCCAACCAAGUUAGGCCCAGAUAAGAGCAUUCCCAGUUCGCCUUCGUACGUGGAGCCACAGAUUGAUUUGAUUCCUGACCGGCUGCCGUCGCCUGCUGUGCCGGCUGUGCCUGAUGUCCGUUGUCCGAUGGCUGGUCGAGAGCCAGGAGGAAUGGGAACCCAAGUGGCGGCCAGAUGCAGACCGAGCCGAGGAAGACAAACGACAGUCGCCAGCGCGCCUCGUGCCUCCAGUUGUCAUAACGUUCAACACAUCGCGCCCCUCGGUGGCGUCUUGCGUCUUCGCCGCAUCCACAUGCCCGACUUCUGUGCGCUGCCAUAAAAGGAUUUGUCACGUGCGAGCUUUUGUUGCAAAUGCAACAAUCAUCAGCCUGCAUUAUGCAUGGCGCAUUGCCAGGUUGGACAUCGCAUCGCGGCAUUCCUGGCCAGAUCCUCCUGCCUGUUGCCUCUGCCAGGUCCUGGUCCUGGCUUAUAUGCUCGCCGACCAGCAGAUCAUUGCAAUUUAUAAUUAAGUGGAAAUAUGUUGUCUACGAUGGCAACAAGGAUCUCAGAUUGCUGGCGCAGAUAUGAAUGCCUCGCAAAGUGGCGGGCUGCACAGGGAAACGGCAGGGAAACGGAUCCCUCAAUUGGAAUAACAAAUGCAUUAGCAGGCCAAACAAGGACCUAAUAAUGUCCUCGCCGAGGGAAUGCGAAUGGAAAUCCAUUGUGCAAAGAAUGGGCCGGGUCUCAUCCGCAAUUACCGUUAGACACACACACAAACAAGGCGCAACACUCGCACACACACAGAGGCAAAUGAGGACACGUUGGCCUGGCUAAUUCAUGACUUUAAGGACACUUUGGCAAACAAUCGAACGGUCAAGGCGAAGGAAUAUUCACUGUGCAAUUGAUUAUGCAUGAGUGUUUUGUCGUGUGCGGUUUGUGUGCGUGCCAAUCAACUGGGUAGAAUCAAUCAAAAUGCAAUAGGAUUGCCCUGCCAAUCAAAGGCAAAGCCGAGAAGAGAGUUAUCCCCGCUCGCAGAAGUCACCUCCGGUCCCCAGUUGCACAGCUUAAGUCCAAGGCAGUCCGAGCCGGGCCAGUAUUUUCGGACCACAUCAGGACAAAUAGCCAGCGCCCAGGUAACCAGGACAAACACUCAAAUGCCUGGCGAAGCGUGGCGAAGGAAGCAAACGAGACGUAGGCUUACAUACGGAAAAACUGUGGACUAACUUGGUCUACAAUCCGAUAUCCAUAGUACUUAAUAUACUUAUAAUUACUUAAAUCGUAAUGUAUAC